RNAcentral lists this unclassified non-coding RNA (240 nucleotides) under soil metagenome. RNAcentral's name for it is "partial contains 5.8S ribosomal RNA, internal transcribed spacer 2, and large subunit ribosomal RNA". The record is from RNAcentral.
AAGACUAUAGACCUGCGGAGUACCUGCGGAGGGAUCAUUACCGAGUGCGGGCCCUCUGGGUCCAACCUCCCACCCGUGUUUAUUGUACCUUGUUGCUUCGGCGGGCCCGCCAUUCUGCCGCCGGGGGGCUUGCCCCCGGGCCCGCGCCCGCCGAAGACACCCUCGAACUCUGUCUGAAGAUUGUAGUCUGAGUGGAAUUAUAAAUUAUUAAAACUUUCAACAACGGAUCUCUAGAUCGGA